This 564-nucleotide ribosomal RNA is filed under the name uncultured Glomeromycotina. RNAcentral's name for it is "SSU rRNA". It matches the Rfam family "Eukaryotic small subunit ribosomal RNA", at positions 548 to 1114 of the family's 1831-position model. The record is from RNAcentral. Lineage: Eukaryota; Fungi; Glomeromycota.
UUGGAGGGCAAGUCUGGUGCCAGCAGCCGCGGUAAUUCCAGCUCCAAUAGCGUAUAUUAAAGUUGUUGCAGUUAAAAAGCUCGUAGUUGAAUUUCGGGGUCAGUAGGUUGGUCAUGCCACUGGUAUGUACUGGUCUCACUGAUUCCUCCUUCCUGAUGAGCCGUAAUGCCAUUAAUUUGGUGUUGCGAGGAAUCUGACUGUUACUUUGAAAAAAUUAGAGUGUUUAAAGCAGGCUAACGCUUGAAUACAUUAGCAUGGAAUAAUGAAAUAGGACGUUCGAUCUUAUUUUGUUGGUUUCUAAGAUUGACGUAAUGAUUAAUAGGGAUAGUUGGGGGCAUUAGUAUUCAAUUGUCAGAGGUGAAAUUCUUGGAUUUAUUGAAGACUAACUACUGCGAAAGCAUUUGCCAAGGAUGUUUUCAUUAAUCAAGAACGAAAGUUAGGGGAUCGAAGACGAUCAGAUACCGUCGUAGUCUUAACCAUAAACUAUGCCGACUAGGGAUCGGAUGAUGUUAAUUUUUUAAUGACUCAUUCGGCGCCUUACGGGAAACCAAAGUGUUUGGGUUC